RNAcentral lists this transfer RNA (75 nucleotides) under Aplanochytrium sp. PBS07. It matches the Rfam family "tRNA". Rfam says of the family: Transfer RNA (tRNA) molecules are approximately 80 nucleotides in length. Their secondary structure includes four short double-helical elements and three loops (D, anti-codon, and T loops). Lineage: Eukaryota; Bigyra; Thraustochytrida; Thraustochytriidae. The record is from RNAcentral.
ACGUGCCGGAGUGGUUAACGGGACGGCCUGCUAAGCCGUUGCUCUCAGAGCGCGAGAGUUCGAAUCUCUCCGUUG